This 371-nucleotide ribosomal RNA is filed under the name uncultured organism. Its description in RNAcentral is "bacterial SSU rRNA". It matches the Rfam family "Bacterial small subunit ribosomal RNA", at positions 526 to 896 of the family's 1533-position model. The record is from RNAcentral.
CGUAGGGUGCGAGCGUUAAUCGGAAUUACUGGGCGUAAAGCGUGCGCAGGCGGUUUUGUAAGACAGGCGUGAAAUCCCCGGGCUCAACCUGGGAACUGCGUUUGUGACUGCAAGGCUAGAGUAUGGCAGAGGGGGUGGAGUUCCACGUGUAGCAGUGAAAUGCGUAGAGAUGUGGAGGAACACCGAUGGCGGAGGCAGCCCCCUGGGCCAAUACUGACGCUCAUGCACGAAAGCGUGGGUAGCAAACAGGAUUAGAUACCCUGGUAGUCCACGCCCUAAACGAUGUCAACUAGGUGUUGGGUGGGUAAAACCAUUUAGUACCGGAGCUAACGCGUGAAGUUGACCGCCUGGGGAGUACGGCCGCAAGGUUA